CUACAAUGGUAAAAAGUCCCUUAUCUAUAAACUUACGUCACACACUAGUCAUUCUCAGUGACUCUCACUCCUAUAUAUACUCUCUUUCUCAAUUAGGGUUAUACAACUCCAAGUCCAACCCUUUCAGCAGUGUCGCUGCUCCUCUUCUCUUUGAGCAAAUACGAUCUUAAACCCUUUCAACACUCAGCAGCUGCGCUGCACCUUUCCCUUUUUGAACAAAUACUUAUGUACUUUCCACAACCCAGCUUUGUCAAUCCCUCAACUUCCAAGUAACCAAAAGCGGCUUUGCAAUUUCACUUAAUCUGAUUCAAUCAGAUCUACACGAACUCCUUCCCUAUGCUUGGAACGAUGAGUCAGACAACAAGUAGAUUCAGUAUUAGUGCAUCUAUUGAAGAUCUGAUGAUUCAAAGAAUGUUGAUGGGGGCUUCUAUAUCUUUACCAUCCCCUAGAUGGUUUAAUAAAAUCAUCAACAAUAAUUUUAUAAUUUCUUCAAGUGUAAUUUCCUUGAUUAAAUAUGGAAGAAGGUAUUUGUAUUAACGGUGACAUUAAUUUAUUUAUGCGAGUUAAGACGUUCUAUAGUUUGAUUAGAGCGUGAAUCUUCACCAAUAUUGCUAGAGAUUUCAUAGCUUCCGUUCUUCAACAUCUUCGUUUGUUCUUUAAGAUCUAAUAUUGUAUCUGCAAUUUUAUGUAAUGUUGUUAUCUUAUUAAAUAAAUGAUUGUGGUUUUCUUGAUUAAUUAAGUUAGUACUUUUUUAAUACACUUUUGUUUUGCGUAUUUACUUAAGAUAUUCGUUUUAUAGAAAGUCUUCACUUAUUAUGGUUACACCCAUGGUUGUUAAAAGCGCGAUCUAGAUCUUGCGAUCUAUAUAUUGAAAUCGUAAGAUCGCACGGUUUAUUCUCUCUCCACCGUGUCGUAACGGUACAAUAAUCAUUGUCAAGGAUGGAGCGGUGUGCGUGUAGAAGAAGAAUGUUAAAUUGUGGAAGCGACGUUUUCUCUCGUGCUUGUUUCACACCUUUUAGCCCCGGUUGUGAACAUCUUGAUCCGGUUGAACCAAUUUUAACCCAGAAUAACUUGAACCUUGCCGGAUUCAAACAUUUUUUAAUCAAAAGUUGAUCUGUUUUUUAAUCUCAUAGAGAUACACUGAAGUUACCAUUUUUUAUAUUAAUAAAGGGGUCAAUUACUUUUAAUUGAAAAUUUACAUCCACACUUAUGAACUUCCCAAAAAUAUGAUUUUUUCAAGUGUGAACUUGGGACUCUAUGAUUUUUUUAUAUGAUAAAGUGGGAAUCAAUAAAAAAUUUAAAAAUUUAUCUACUAAAAAAGUUUUCUAUACUUUGUUUGAGUCAAAGUCAAACUCUCAUCGAUUAAAUCAAGGAAAAAUUUAUGAUUUUUUUUUUGGAUAAUUUAUGUUAAGUUUUUUUUUUUUUUUUUAAUUUCAAAUGUGAACAUUUUAUCAUAAUAUCCAAAUAGUCAUCGGUGUCAUAUUUACUUUACAAACCAUAUAUAUAUAUAUAUAUUGUCAUCGCGAUUUUCGGGUGUCAAGUCAUUAAUUUGGCUUGAACCUUUCAAUCUUUGAUAUUCUCUAUUUUUUCUUGGGAAGGGCAAAAUUGAGAAAAAACCCUUAAUUUUCCGAAUUCGGGGGUCGUUUUCGCUACGGGAAGGUGUUAGGCACCCGGAGCGAUUAUGGUAUUCCAUAAGAACCGUUCUCCUAAGCUUAUUUCUACGCUUUACUUUUAGAGACUAUUUGUAAAAAAGAAGGUGUGAUUAGUGAAGAAUGGGGGUGAGAAGAAGUAGAAUUUGAUUUUAUUUCGGCUUGGAGGGGUUAAAGUCCCUUGCCUACGUACCGUUUUACGGGAUCAAAACCGGCGUAGUUCUUGCUAAAAAGACUUGUUGUUUUUUUUUGUUUUAAUUGUUUGAUUUUAAAUUUUGAAAAUGAUUUUGAAGAAGGGGAUUGAGAGGCUUCAUGAGCAUUAGAGUAUGAAAAAGUGGGGGUUUGUUUAGUGAUUUUGCAAAAAGUCUAAAUGAUUAGAUUUAUUUGAGAAUUUUAUUAAGAAAAUAAAAGGUGAAAAAUUGUUGGAGUUUUGACUCCAUUUUUAUGAAAAAUAUUUGAAGCUAAUUUGUUUGCAUAUUUUUUGGAAAAAAUUGGAUUUUCUCUAAGUGUUUAAACCUAAGCAUUCAUCUAACCAUGCAAUCCUAGCCAUACAUCUACACAUGCAAUCCUAGGCAUACAUCUAGGGUGAGUGUGUGCGUGCCGGUGUGCCAUAGUGUCCAUAGUCCAUAUUACAAAAAUUGCCUAAAUACAUUCUAUGGCCUCUUUGCCAAGCUACAAACCAAUGAUAACAAAUUACAUCACCGAAUGAAUUAAAAUUUGCAAAAAUAAAUGCUAAGCUAAAGAAAGUGGAGGAGAUAGUGAAAUGCUAUGAGUGAAGUCACAUAAGGAACAAAAUGUUAGUGAAACAAGGAAAAAUAUAAUGGGAAUGAUGAAAAAUGCACCAAAUGAAUAUGCAAUAAAAAGGGGUAAAAACAUGAGAACUUAUCAAGCACAAUGUGUAACAAAUGGCCUAUAAUGCAAGAACAAGUAUAAACCAAAUGAAAACAGUGGCACAAUCAUUGGAUUAUCAUCACAUCUAUCAUGAAAAUGCAUUCUAAUUAGCCAUGCUAUGCACCAAAAUUCUUAGGACAAGAAUCAACCUAAAAAUCAUGAAAAAGCUAACUAGAGAAGUAAAUUGAACAAGAGGCCUAUGCACAUAUUUUUACCAGUUAUUUGCAAGCAAAAUAUCAUUAAAAGUCAUCAAGAGAGUGGUAAAAACAUGUAGUAAUUUUUGGAAUUUUUUUGUAAAAAAGGUGACCAAGAAACAGGUUCAGAUAGCAAAAAGAAUGGUGCAGAUAGCAAGAAAAGGAGCAGAAACGCGCAAGAAGCCUAAGCCCAACCCAAAGCCCAACACACAAAACUCAGAUUGCACAGGAGACGUUGGAUUGAUCCAGGGUAGGAAACCCUAGAUCCAACGGCCAGGAAUGAAGGAGGUUGGACCGGUCCUGAACCGGUCCGGUUCACUGGCUUUAUAAAGGGGGGAAUCCGGUUUUUUUUUAUUUUCUUCCUCUCCUUCUCUCUCUUCUCUCACUUCUCUCUUCCCUCUCUCUCGCCGGAAACUGGAAAACUGAAGAUGAUCUUCAUCUUCUCCGGUGGAGCUUGUUCCUCCGGCGUGGUGGCCGGCCACCCAAAGGUGGCGGCGCCGCCGCCGGAGUUGAGCAAACUCCUCCGAUUUUGAAAAUUUUUACAUUUUUAGAUAUCCUUUUUCAUGCUAUUCACGAAUCCAAACUUGGUUUUUUGAGAAAAAGUCCCAAUCGGAGUAGAUCUAACUUCAAAGAUUCGGAAAUUUUUGAAUUCAAAAAAAGGAGGAAAGAGGAAAAGAAGAGUUAUUACCUGUUUGUGAUGUGUUGUGGAGCAAGGGAGAGAGCUUCGCUUUCUUCCAGAUCCGGAAUAUUCCUUCCUUCUUUCCCUUCUCCUUCACGUGAUUCUUUGACCGAAUUUGCUUGUUGUUUGGUGAUGUUCUUGGUGAUUUGAUUCGGAUUUUGUUGAUUUUUGUGGUUCUUGGUGCGGAUUUGUUGCUGGAUUCGGUUUUGUUGCUUUCGGUUUCGUUGCUUUUUUCUUCUUCUCCUCUCUCUGUGAUCGUGCUUGGAUUCGCCGCUUCCGGUGGCGGAUUCGCACUUGAAUUGUGGAGCAGAGACGAUUCGAUGAUGAAGAUUCGCAAAGAAUCUCUGAGAAUCACACAAAAGGAUGAUGAAUUUGAUGAAUUUGUGAUGAUUUUCAGUUAGGGUUUAUGUGAAUGUUCUUGAUGAUUUUCUAUGAUUUUUCUGUUUUGAUUUGCAACUGAAUGGAGAGAGAAAAAAAAAUCUGUUUGUGAUGUGGCGUGUGAUUAAUGGAUCUCUUGAUUAUGUGGCACUGUGAACAGUAUUUAUAGCUGAUGUGUGAGUGAUUGGACCAUUAGAAAGCUGACAUGUGGCAUUGGACUGAAAAAGGGGCGCUGCCCUGUAAUUUGACUUGAAGGACCUGUUUGCAAAUUUGAAAAAUAUAUGGACUGGACUGAAAAAUGAAAGUAAGGACUGAAAUGAAAUUAAAAACUGUUUGGACAAAAAAUGCAAUUUUGGGACCUCAAUUGAGGGACCAAAAUGCAAUUAAAAAUAAAAUUGAAUAAAAAACGUAAUUUGACCAAACGUAAAGCGAAACAAAAAAUAAAAUUGACAAAACGGACUAAAACGAACCAAUAGCUUAAAUGAGGUACUUCAAAGUAACCUCUCUAUGCCGAAAUUUUGUGUGAAAUGACCAAAAUGCCCCUAGGGCUAAAAAUGACUUAAACAGAUUCAAAUUGACUUGACACUGACUCAGAUGCAAGUUUGAAAUGAAUUUAACAAGGUUUACUGAUGAAAUGUUAAAAAUCAAUCUGAAAAGACUCAGAGACAGUCACAAGGAUGAAAAUGGGUCCCACUGCAGGAAAUGAGCAAAAUACCCUUCUGUACGACUUUUUGCAAAUUUUGAAAUAAACUGUAGAAAAAGCAAUGUAAUGAUUCAGAGACACUUUUGAAUGACUUACAAGACAAGUAAAGACAUUUCGAAAGGUUUUAUGCAAGAAAAACAUAGGUAAAAUUGUGAUUGAAAAUACUGCGAGGCAGAGACAAUUUGAACUGUGCAGUUGAAAUUUGAUAAUUGACAAAGUUUGAAAUGAAAUUGGGCCCAGUAUUUUUAGGUCCAAAAACAGGGUAUAACAGCUGCCCCUAUUUAAGUUUCUUUGUCUGGAGAGUCAAGAGACGGAGUCUUUGGCUUGACAGGACGAAGAUACUUAAAUAUUAGCAUUUGCACUGUGUUUGGACGUAAAAAUACGCCUACCCAUUUUCAAAUAAUAUGCAUGCCAUGCAUCAUUUGGAUUAUGAAUGCAAGACCUCAUGGGGAUUGGAAUUAACAAAAUAUGUCGUAUCCAUUGCGGGAUUGGUAGACAUUGACAAAGAUAGUGAAUAGCAGAGUAACGGGAAACUAGAAACAAGUUGGACAGGUACAAGCUGUUCUUGGAUUCAAACUAGCCACUUGACCGGGAAUGAAACAAACAGACAACUGCGAGUUGUUCUUAUGGAUUCGAACUGGUCACUUCACAGGGGAUAGAGGUCACUGGACAAACAUGAGUUGUUCUUAUGGAUUCGAACUGGUAACUCACUUGGGGAUAUUGGAAAGUGCGAGUUGUUCUUAUGGAUUCGAACUGGUGACCCGACUGGGAAAAAGAGAAAAUUGGCAAGUACGAGUUGUUCUUACGGAUUCGAACUGGUGACUCGACUGGAAAAAGAGAAAAUUGACAAGUACGAGUUGUUCUUAUGGAUUCGAACUGGUGACUCGACUGAAAACAUGUAAAAUUGGCAGGUACGAGUUGUUCUUAAGGAUUCGAACUGGUUACUCGACUGAAAGCAAGGCAAAUAGACAGGUGCGAGCUUGUUCUUGGAUUCGAACUGGUAAUUCGACCGGGGUCAUGGAAAAGUAGAUAGGUACGAGUUGUUCUUGGAUUCGAACUGGUCACUCGACCGAAAGCAAAGGCAAAUAAGCAGGUGUGAGCUUGUUCUUGGAUGCGAACUGGUUACUCCACCGGACAGAAACAGAUAGACAGGUACAAGCUGCUCUUGGAUUGAGCUAGCCACUUGACCAAACGGAAACAUAUUGACAGGUACAAGCUGCUCUUGGAUUGAGCUGGGCACUCGACCGAUAACAUAAGCAAAUUGAUAGGUACAAGCUGUCCUUGGACUUGAACUAGCCACUUGACCAAACAGAAACAUAUUCACUGGGGAUUGGUUUUUUUUUUGACAAAAUAUAGAUUGAGAUUGACUUGACGUCGAUUUGAAUUGAAAGGCAGAAAUUGACCGAUAUUAUUGGCUCACAAGGUUUUGACAGAGAACCUGACAUGAGUAUUGAAUUGAGACUGAUGUUGACAUUGGAAAUGCAAUAUGCACGGAUGAUAUAACAGUUUCAUUAAAUGCAUGGGCACGUAAUAUGCAUGAUUAUGCAUGUAUGAAUGCUUGUAAUGCAUGACUGUUGGCAUUUUGUAGGUACGACUUCACGGGGAAGACAAGACAUCAGAGUAUUGGGCACGUAGUGGCUCGUGCUAUAUUACACAUUCUUGGAAAUCCUCUUUGGAGAUGACGUCGUUGGGAGACGUAUCGGAACCACGGCUGAGGGCAGGUAGCUAUGCAACUUGCUGGGGAUAGAAUCUCGGAAGACUCUACUGGGAAUAAUGCCGGAUGUACCGUGGGCGUCGCAUCUGUGGUCAAUGCUUUUUGCAUGUUAUUUUCUCAAUUUUCAUUCAUCAUUUUUUUGCAUCCCAUUUUUGCCUGGAUCGCCCUUUCGGGUUUUCGACCCACCGGGGAAAUAAAUUCUUUUCAAUGCCCCAUUUUUGCCUGAACUGCCCUUUCGGGUUGCCAAUCCAGCGGGGUGCUCAUUUUUGCCUAAGCCGCCCUUUCGGGUUUUCAACUUAGCGAGCCUAUUCAUUUUCAUGCAUUUUCAUUCUGUUUUUUUCAUUCUUGCCAUUGACCACAGACUAUCCUGGAGGAGAACCUGCUUGUAACAUAUCUUGAAAUAGACACCAACACACACUCGCUCAUGCAUGUUCAUUUGAAUGUACCCUGUUGCUCAGGUUUGCUUUUCAAAAAAAACUUUUUCAAUUUUCAAAAUGUUUGUUUCGAGCAUUAUCAUUAUCAAAAUAGAAAGAAAAUGUUUUGUAUAUAGCUUUGAAAGUAGAAGAAAAAUAGAGUUUCAAACAAAAGCACAGGCUCAAAUUGACGUAUAAGAGUGGUGGUCAGCCGAAGGCGUGACUCCACGGAUUUACAAAGCUUGGAAAAUGGUAAUUUUAUUGGUUGGUGGUACAUUGAACACAGUAAUCAUGACAUCUCCUAGAAACUUUGAAUUCGCAAGCGUAGGAGCUUUUGAUGAAGAUAGUCAUUAACAGCUGCAGAUGCCCCAAGGGGGACGGUGGUUAGCCAGAUAUAGUUACUUGCCUUUUGUUUCAAUCUCAUUUUUGCAUGAACCGCCCUUCCGGGUUUUCGAUUCAUCGAGACGCUCAUUCUUGCCUGAGUUGCGUACAAUCUCAGCGAGCUUUUUCAUAUAUAUUUUUUUGUCCCUUAUUUUUGCCUGGACCGCCCUUUCGAGUUUUCGAUCCACCGGGAAGCGCAUUUUUGCCUAGGCCGCCCUUUCGGGUUUUCGACCUACCACGCUGUUCUUUUCACAUUUCUAGGCAAAGUAUUUCUUGACUAUAUCGGCAUUCACUGGAUUUGGAAGUUCUACACCAUCCAUGUGUGUAAGGAUUAAAGCACCACCGGAGAAGGCUUUCUUGACAACAUAAGGACCUUCAUAGUUAGGCGUCCACUUGCCCCUUGGGUCGGGUUGCUGGCUUACCCUCCUUUUCAAUACAAGUUCUCCUACCUUGAAUUCUCGAGGAUGGACUUUCUUGUCAAAGGCAGUCUUCAUUCUUGCUUGAUAUGACUGUCCACGAGCCAUGGCAUCCAUACGUUUUUCCUCAAUCAAAUUCAACUGAUCAUACCGGCUUUGGCACCAUUCAGCCUCAGAUAACUUUGCUUCCAUGAUCACACGGAAAGAUGGGAUCUCCACUUCCAAAGGAAGAACUGCUUCCAUACCAUAUACAAGAGAGAAAGGGGUUGCCCCGGUUGAACUGCGCACGGUAGUACGGUAGCCAUGCAGAGCAUAGGGCAACAUCUCAUGCCAGUCCUUGUAAGUGGUUACCAUCUUCUGGACAAUUCUCUUGAUAUUCUUGUUGGCGGCCUCAACUGCACCAUUCAUCUGAGGUCUAUAAGGAGAAGAAUUAUGAUGCUCAAUUUUGAAUUCUUCACAAAGAGCUUGCACCACAUUGUUAUUCAGGUUGGUACCAUUGUCGGUAAUAAUCUUGCUGGGAACACCAUAUCGACAGAUGAUGUUGUUCUUGAUGAACUUAGCUACCACUUGCUUGGUCACAUUGGUAUAAGAUGCUGCUUCAACCCACUUGGUGAAGUAGUCAAUUGCCACUAAGAUGAAACGAUGACCAUUUGAAGCCUUCGGUUCAAUUCUUCCAAUCAUGUCGAUGUCCCACAUUGAGAACGGCCAUGGGGAUGAAAUAACAUUGAGAGCAUGCGGAGGCACAUGAAUCUUAUCAGCAUAGAUUUGACAUUUAUGGCACUUUCUGGCGUGUUGGUAGCAAUCAUGCUCCAUGGCCAUCCAGUAGUAACCUGCUCGUAACAACUUCCUUGACAUAGUAUGCCCUGUAGCAUGGGUCCCGAAGGUACCGUCAUGUACAUCAUGCAUUAACUGCUCUGCUUCAUGUUCAUCAACACAUCUUAACAAUACCAUGUCAUAGUUUCUCUUGUACAGAAUAUCUCCAUCUAACAGGAAUCUACUGGCCAAUCUUCUCAGGGUCUUCUUGUCUUUGUUGGAAGCUCCCGGUGGAUACUUACAGCUUAGCAAGAACUGCUUGAUGUCAUAAUACCAGGGUUUACUGUCAACCAUAUUUUCACCGGUCUGAUCGAUCACAUCCCCAAUAGCAAACACAUGCGAAGGUCUUUCAAGGCGUUGCACUUUGAUCAUUGGCACAUCAUUCCAAUGGUUUACUCGAAACAUGGAAGAUAGAGUAGCAAGAGCAUCAGCCAUUUGGUUCUCAUCACGAGGAAUAUGGUGCAGCUCAACCUUUGUAAAAUAUGUCAGCAAACGUCUCGCAUAAUCACGAUAAGGAAUCAACUUAGCAUGGUGGGUCUCCCAUUCACCCUUUAUCUGAUUGAUGACGAGCGCGGAAUCUCCAUAGAUGUCGAGGUGUUUGAUUCUCAUGUCAAUUGCUUCCUCGAUCCCGAAGAUACAUGCUUCAUACUCAGCCAUAUUGUUUGUACAUUCGAACAGAAUUCGGGCGGUAAAAGGGAUGUGAUGCCCUUGUGGGGAUACAAUGACUGCCCCAAUUCCUUUACCAUAAGCAUUGACAGCACCAUCAAAGACUAAACCCCACUUGCUAUUGGGAUCUGGACCUUCAUCAAUCAACGGUUCUUCGCAGUCUUUGGAUUUCAAAUACAUGAUCUCUUCAUCGGGGAAAACGAACUCAAUUGGUUGAUAAUCAUCUAGAGGUUGGUAAGCAAGAUGAUCGGCAAGAAUGCUACCUUUGAUUGCCUUUUGAGUUUUGAACACAAUAUCAUAUUCAGACAAAAGCAUCUGCCAGCGUGCAAUCUUCCCAGUAACAGCAGCUUUCUCAAAGAUAUACUUUAUCGGAUCCAUUCUGGAUAUCAACCAAGUUGUAUGAUUCACCAAAUAAUGACGCAGGCGUUUAGCGGCCCAAGCCAAAGCACAACAAGUCUUCUCAAGCAUUGUAUACCGAGUUUCACAAUCGGUGAACUUCUUGCUUAGAUAGUAGAUAGCAUGUUCUUUCUUUCCAGUCUCAUCUUGUUGACCAAGCACGCAUCCCACAGAUUCAUCAAACACUGACAAAUACAAAAUCAAAGGCCUUCCUUCCACGGGAGGGACAAGGAUAGGUGGUUCCAGCAGGUAAUUCUUGAUGCUAUCAAAAGCUUCCUGGCAUUCAUCGUUCCAUAUAAUAGGCUGAUUCUUGCUCAAGCAGUCGAGUGAUCUCAUAUGGUAUAUCAUCAUCCUCUUCAUCUUCGGCUUCAUACACAGGGAAUUCAAAAUUUGGAGGAACCGUAGGAUUACUGUGUUCAACGGGUUUAUUAUGGUUCAAACUGCAUAGAAUGGUUGAAUGAUUUUAGAAAAUGGUUUUUUUUUUUUCUAUGCAGUUCUUUGAAAUUGAUAAGAAAAAUAAAGAUGUUUUGGUUUUUUCUGGUAUUACCAUUAUUUCCAAGAAAAAAAGAAAAAAAAUCACUAAAAAAUAAAAGUCGUGAAAGAAACGACGAUUUUUGUUAAUAACGGCGAUGCCGAAACAAACACGCCCUUCCAGAAAUAUCACUUUCGCUUCGGGCAGAGCGAGAGGAUGGUUAUUUUGAAAAACAAAACACUUAAGCAACAAGACACAUUAUUCGGAAACAUGCAUGAUUGAAUGAAUGUUGAUGGCAUCACAAUUUCUCGCAAUGCCUCCUGGUAUAACAAACAUAGGUCUAGGACUACAUCCAGUCGCCUCUUCAGUAAUUGCAUUGAUAAACUCAGCACUGUAGAAGAUUCAUGUGGCAUUGUACUUGUAAGGAAUAGCCUUUGUAGAAGUAUAAGGUACUGGUCCGGGCAGCCUUAUCACUAGAGGCUCAACAUUCUCUUUUGAAGGCACGCUCUUGACGGGCGGAUCAUGAAAGACUGGCACAAUCACACAGACGUCGCUGACAGUCAAAUGAUUGUUGUUCAUCAAGCUCUGGAUGUCAUUUUGAACAACGCAGCAACCCAAAGGAUUACAGAAUCAUUCUUGGCAAUUGGCAUGAUCAUGGUCAAACAGAGAGGCUUGGCAUAACUUGAUGUGUAGUGGCACCAGAGGAGUUGUAACAUUACGGACGUCAAGUCCGGGAGCUUCCUCAUAUACCUCAAUCAUGUUCACAGCAGCGUGAUUUGGAAGAGGGUUGUCGAGGACAUGAGGGACGUUGUUCUCAAAAGUCAACUUUCCUUGGUUAAUGAGCUUCUUCACAAUGUAUUUCAAAGCAUAGCAUCCUUCGACAUCAUGACCCAGAGCACCUUGAUGGAAAUCACAUUUGAGGUCAGACCGGAACCUAGGAGGUAACGGAUCAGGUGGAGGCUUCCCCUGUCUGAUUGUGCAGUGCCCUCUGAGAAGUAGAGUCGGGAGCAACUCAGCAUAUAGCAUUGGUAUCAGAGGAAAGGUAGGUCUAGCCUGUUGCUGCUGUCGUUGUUGGUGAACCGGUGGAUGAUUGUUCCUGGGCGGCUAGCAGAGCAGUCAUGGUAUCAUUGGCCUUAGCUAAUUCUUCCCUCAGAGAAGCUAAUUCGGUACGGAGCUGAGCAUUUUCCUCUUCCAUGGCUGCCGAAUUCUUCUUUCUGUAGAGUCUAGUCCGGUGUAUUCUGUCUGAUUCGUAAACUUUCCGAGCACGAGCCACCUUUCAAUCUGUGGCAGAAGAACCAGGAGGCAGUGAGCACUUGGAAACCUCUUGUGGCUUGAUGAAUGAUGCACAUGAUGCAUGAUAUGUACAAAUGCAAAUGCAAAAGUUGUUUUUGGACAUCGAAGGAUUUUUAGACAAAUUAGGAGUUUUGUAAACAAUAUCUAAACAAGCAAAUUCAUACCUGUAAUGUUUACAAAGUUUUUAAUUUGUCCAAUCCUUCGAUGAAUGCAUGAGAAAAAAUUUAUGCAUGAAUGCAUGUAUGCAUGAUUGUUUUUUUCAAUUACAGAGAAAACAUGGAGGGUUAAGAUUAAAGUCGAGGAGCCACGGGCGGACACGGUGCCCAGUAAACUAGGGCUUAGGAUAAUAGUAACCAAGGUUCUAAUCAAGUUCCCAAACUGCAACCUCUCUUACGUACAUCAUGGUAGCACGGGACAACAUCCGUUCCAUGUUUAUUCGCAAGAAGGUUUAGUUUGAGUGUAGUAUCGCGUGACGACUAAAACUCGAGACAACACUCGGUUUAGCCACCGCACUACGUCCUAAAAAAGGCCAAGGAUGGGCUUGGUAACUACAGUCCAUAGCGUCGUCGAACAAUUGAAAGCAAAGUGCCUAAGCAUGACAACACACGCCGACAAUAUUACUUUCAAAAUGCCUCCGCUAUAUGAGAUUGAUCGCAUAACCCAAUACACGAGGCAACCCUCGGAUUGAAUUGUCGAUUAUAUCUCUACCUAUUCAUAAGUUCACUCAGCCCGGGUAUAGGACUUUUGAUAUUCUCACCCCACACGUCAAAUGAAAAUAAACAAGUAUUCACAUAUGUAAGCAAUAAAACAAAGCGCAAAUAUAAACUAAGGAAAACUAGGCGUGACCCGCUAAAAGAAUCCCCAGUGAAGUCGCCAUUUCUGUUAUCAUGGUUUUUGGGUGCCAAGCCAUUAAUUGGACUUGAACCUUUUGACCGUUGAUAUCUCUCUUUUUUCUUGGGAAGGGCAAAAUUGAGAAAAACCCUUAAUUUUCCGAAUUCGGGGGUCGUUUUCGCUACGGGAAGGUGUUAGGCACCCGGAGCGAUUAUGGUAUUCCAUAAGAACCGUUCUCCUAAGCUUACUUCUACGCUUUACUUUUAGAGACUAUUUGUAAAAAAGAAGGUGUGAUUAGUGAAGAAUGGGGGUGAGAAGAAGUAGAAUUUGAUUUUAUUUCGGCUUGGAGGGGUUAAAGUCCCUUGCCUACGUACCGUUUUACGGGAUCAAAACCGGCGUAGUUCUUGCUAAAAAGACUUGUUGUUUUUUUUUGUUUUAAUUGUUUGAUUUUAAAUUUUGAAAAUGAUUUUGAAGAAGGGGAUUGAGAGGCUUCAUGAGCAUUAGAGUAUGAAAAAGUGGGGGUUUGUUUAUUGAUUUUGCAAAAAGUCUAAAUGAUUAGAUUUAUUUGAGAAUUUUAUUAAGAAAAUAAAAGGUGAAAAAUUGUUGGAGUUUUGACUCCAUUUUUAUGAAAAAUAUUUGAAGCUAAUUUGUUUGCAUAUUUUUUGGAAAAAAUUGGAUUUUCUCUAAGUGUUUAAACCUAAGCAUUCAUCUAACCAUGCAAUCCUAGCCAUACAUCUACACAUGCAAUCCUAGGCAUACAUCUAGGGUGAGUGUGUGCGUGCCGGUGUGCCAUAGUGUCCAUAGUCCAUAUUACAAAAAUUGCCUAAAUACAUUCUAUGGCCUCUUUGCCAAGCUACAAACCAAUGAUAACAAAUUACAUCACCGAAUGAAUUAAAAUUUGCAAAAAUAAAUGCUAAGCUAAAGAAAGUGGAGGAGAUAGUGAAAUGCUAUGAGUGAAGUCACAUAAGGAACAAAAUGUUAGUGAAACAAGGAAAAAUAUAAUGGGAAUGAUGAAAAAUGCACCAAAUGAAUAUGCAAUAAAAAGGGGUAAAAACAUGAGAACUUAUCAAGCACAAUGUGUAACAAAUGGCCUAUAAUGCAAGAACAAGUAUAAACCAAAUGAAAACAAUGGCACAAUCAUUGGAUUAUCAUCACAUCUAUCAUGAAAAUGCAUUCUAAUUAGCCAUGCUAUGCACCAAAAUUCUUAGGACAAGAAUCAACCUAAAAAUCAUGAAAAAGCUAACUAGAGAAGUAAAUUGAACAAGAGGCCUAUGCACAUAUUUUUACCAGUUAUUUGCAAGAAAAAUAUCAUUAAAAGUCAUCAAGAGAGUGGUAAAAACAUGUAGUAAUUUUUGGAAUUUUUUUGUAAAAAAGGUGACCAAGAAACAGGUUCAGAUAGCAAAAAGAAUGGUGCAGAUAGCAAGAAAAGGAGCAGAAACGCGCAAGAAGCCUAAGCCCAACCCAAAGUCCAACACACAAAACUCAGAUUGCACAGGAGACGUUGGAUUGAUCCAGGGUAGGAAACCCUAGAUCCAACGGCCAGGAAUGAAGGAGGUUGGACCGGUCCUGAACCGGUCCGGUUCACUGGCUUUAUAAAGGGGGGAAUCCGGUUUUUUUUUAUUUUCUUCCUCUCCUUCUCUCUCUUCUCUCACUUCUCUCUUCCUUCUCUCUCGCCGGAAACUGGAAAACUGAAGAUGAUCUUCAUCUUCUCCGGUGGAGCUUGUUCCUCCGGCGUGGUGGCCGGCCACCCAAAGGUGGCGGCGCCGCCGCCGGAGUUGAGCAAACUCCUCCGAUUUUGAAAAUUUUUACAUUUUUAGAUAUCCUUUUUCAUGCUAUUCACGAAUCCAAACUUGGUUUUUUGAGAAAAAGUCCCAAUCGGAGUAGAUCUAACUUCAAAGAUUCGGAAAUUUUUGAAUUCAAAAAAAGGAGGAAAGAGGAAAAGAAGAGUUAUUACCUGUUUGUGAUGUGUUGUGGAGCAAGGGAGAGAGCUUCGCCUUCUUCCGGAUCCGGAAUAUUCCUUCCUUCUUUCCCUUCUCCUUCACGUGAUUCUUUGACCGAAUUUGCUUGUUGUUUGGUGAUGUUCUUGGUGAUUUGAUUCGGAUUUUGUUGAUUUUUGUGGUUCUUGGUGCGGAUUUGUUGCUGGAUUCGGUUUUGUUGCUUUCGGUUUCGUUGCUUUUUUCUUCUUCUCCUCUCUCUGUGAUCGUGCUUGGAUUCGCCGCUUCCGGUGGCGGAUUCGCACUUGAAUUGUGGAGCAGAGACGAUUCGAUGAUGAAGAUUCGCAAAGAAUCUCUGAGAAUCACACAAAAGGAUGAUGAAUUUGAUGAAUUUGUGAUGAUUUUCAGUUAGGAUUUAUGUGAAUGUUCUUGAUGAUUUUCUAUGAUUUUUCUGUUUUGAUUUGCAACUGAAUGGAGAGAGAAAAAAAAAUCUGUUUGUGAUGUGGCGUGUGAUUAAUGGAUCUCUUGAUUAUGUGGCACUGUGAACAGUAUUUAUAGCUGAUGUGUGAGUGAUUGGACCAUUAGAAAGCUGACAUGUGGCAUUGGACUGAAAAAGGGGCGCUGCCCUGUAAUUUGACUUGAAGGACCUGUUUGCAAAUUUGAAAAAUAUAUGGACUGGACUGAAAAAUGAAAGUAAGGACUGAAAUGAAAUUAAAAACUGUUUGGACAAAAAAUGCAAUUUUGGGACCUCAAUUGAGGGACCAAAAUGCAAUUAAAAAUAAAAUUGAAUAAAAAACGUAAUUUGACCAAACGUAAAGCGAAACAAAAAAUAAAAUUGACAAAACGGACUAAAACGAACCAAUGGCUUAAAUGAGGUACUUCAAAGUAACCUCUCUAUGCCGAAAUUUUGUGUGAAAUGACCAAAAUGCCCCUAGGGCUAAAAAUGACUUAAACAGAUUCAAAUUGACUUGACACUGACUCAGAUGCAAGUUUGAAAUGAAUUUAACAAGGUUUACUGAUGAAAUGUUAAAAAUCAAUCUGAAAAGACUCAGAGACAGUCACAAGGAUGAAAAUGGGUCCCACUGCAGGAAAUGAGCAAAAUACCCUUCUGUACGACUUUUUGCAAAUUUUGAAAUAAACUGUAGAAAAAGCAAUGUAAUGAUUCAGAGACACUUUUGAAUGACUUACAAGACAAGUAAAGACAUUUCGAAAGGUUUUAUGCAAGAAAAACAUAGGUAAAAUUGUGAUUGAAAAUACUGCGAGGCAGAGACAAUUUGAACUGUGCAGUUGAAAUUUGAUAAUUGACAAAGUUUGAAAUGAAAUUGGGCCCAGUAUUUUUAGGUCCAAAAACAGGGUAUAACAUAUAUAUAUAUAUAUAUAUAUAUAUAUAUAUAUAUAUAUAUAUAUAUAUAUAACCUGGACAACAUCAAAGAAAUACACAAGUUAUAUUAAAAAAAUAAUAAACUUUUUUUUAAAGGUAAAAAAUAAAUAUUUUUGAAAAAGCAAAUAAACCCAUUAUCUUUUUUUAGGGAAAUAAACUCAUUUUGUUAAUUAUUUUUUAGGCUAUACUGCACUUUUCGACCCCCUAAGUUUCAAAAUGUUGCGGCUUUUGCCACAUAUUGUAAAAAAUUAUAAUUUUGGCCUCUUUCGUCCAAAAAUUGCUGAGAAGACGCCACAUGUUCUAAAAAAGGGGCUAUAAUCGCAACUUUUUAAGAAGAUAAAGGGUCAUUAGAUCAUAUUUCCCAUAUGUUAGGGGUCAAAAGAGCAUGUUUUCCUUAACAUAGGGGGGGGGGGGGGGGGGGGUCAUGUUUGUCAUUUUUUCAUAAGGGCCAAAGUCACAACUUUUUAAAACUUAAGGGGUGAAAAGUGCACUUUAGCCUAUUUUUUUUACUUAUGUAUCACAUAUUUUCUUUUUACAUUGGCAUACCUAGAUUAGAUCUAGAUGCUUCUUCUGAGCAACUGACACCAACAAAUCCUCUUUUAACAGUCCUACAUCCCUCAUUCAUUCAUUCACUGGUCAGUGUGACUUCCACUCCUAUAUAUAUAUAUAUAUAUAUAUAUAUAUAUAUAUAUAUAUAUAUAUAUAUAUAUAUAUGGAGUUUGCUAGGAUACACCUACUAGUUUUUAUUAAGGUGUGUUUUAGCAAAGAUAUAACUAAAAAUUUGUUCAAUACACCUUAAGGUGAAUGAUGCUAAAACACACAUUCUAAAAAAUAAGUGCGUGUAUGUUAGCAACUCCUAUAGGCAUUUGCUAGGAUACACCCACUUAUUUUUUAGAAGAUGUGUUUUAGCAAGUUAUAACUAAAAAGUAGUUAAAUACACCUUAAGGUGUAGCUUGCUAAAACACUCCUACAUAAAAACUAGUGGGUGUGUUCUAGCAAACCCCUAUAUAUAUAUAUAUAUAUAUGGGUUAUUAUGCUUGUACGCUCUUAAACCCAUUCAUCACUCAGCAGUUACCGCUGCGCCUUUCCCUUUUUGAGCAAAUACUCAACAUAUCUACACAAACUGCUUCCCUAUGCUUGGAAUGAUGAGUCAGACAACAACUAGAGUAUGUAUUAGUGCAUCUGUUGGAGAUCUGAUGAUUCAAAGAAUGUUGAUGGUGACUUCUAUAUGUUUACCAUCCCGUAGAUGGUUUAAUAAAAUCAUCAACAAUAGUUUUAUUAUUUCUUCGAGUGUAAUUUUCUUGAUUAACUAUGGGACAAGGUCUCUGCCUUAACGGAACAUUAAUUUAUUUAUGUGAGUUAAGACGUUCUAUAGUUUGAUUAAAGCGUGAAUCUUCUCCAAUAUUGUUUGAGAUUUCGUAGCUUACGUUUUUCAACAUCUUCGUUUGUUCUUUAAGAUCUAACAUUAUAUUUGCAAUUUUAUGUAAUGUUGUUAUCUUAUUAAAUAAAUGAUUGUGGUUUUCUUGAUUAAUUAAGUUUGUAAUUUUUUAAUACACUUUUGUUUUGCGUAUUUAUUCAAGAUAUAAAUCUAUUCUAAAAGAUUUAUUGGUUUUAUAGAAAUGUGUUCACUUAUUAUGGUCACACCUGUGGUUGUUAAAAGUGCGAUCUAGAUCUUGCGAUCUAUAUCUUGAAAUCAUAAGAUCUCACGGUUUAUUCUCUCCCCACCGUGCCGUAAUGGUACAAUAAUCAUUGUCGAGGAUGGAGCGGUGAGCUGUAGAGGAAGAAUGUUGAAUUGUGGGAGCGACACUUUCUCUCGUGCUUGUUUCACACCUUUUAGCCCCGGUUGUGGACAUCUUGACCCAGUUGAACCGCUUUUGAUCCAGAAUAGCUCGCACGUUACAACUCGGAUUUGAACGUCUUUUAAUCAAAAGUUGAUCUAUUUUUUAAUCUCAUAAAGAGAUACACUGAAGUUACCUUUUUUUUUUAAUUAAUAAAGGGGUCUGUUACUUUUAAUUGAAAAUUUACAUCCACACUUAUGAACUUCCCAAAAAUAAUGAUUCUUUCAAGUGUGAACUUGGGACUCGGUGAUUUUUUUUUAUUUUUUAUUUUUAUGAUAAAGAGGGAAUGAAUAAAAAAUUUAUCUACUAAAAAAUAGGGAACUACCUACCUACUAAGCAACUUAGAUAUUUUCCAUCCCCCGUCUAAUUACCUUUGGGUCUUAUUAUGACAAUGAAAUUUUGAAGUACUGAUCAGUUACAACCUAGUUAUGCAUUCAAGAACAAAAUAUGUAAAACUUAACCUCUAAUUUGUUAGGGAGAAUGUUCUCAACAAGUGUCUCUUAGUAACACACGUGGACAUCCUUGCAAAACCGACAAGAUAAACUUAUGAGUGUUGACUACUUGUCAACCGAUAAGAUUUUAAGGGCUGAAUGAUGAGGUGUGCACAUGGUAGCUAAACUUCUAAGUUAAUGUAAAUAAUGAGUGAGCCAACCUUUUGUUUUGAAGAAAUGAGUGAGCCAACAUAAAUGAAUAAACCAUCGAUUUGGUCUUCGAACUGUAUAAAUAUACCAAGUAGCACCUAAACUAUUAUUAUUAAGACCAUAAAAAUAGUCCUUGAGCAACCAUUCCCUAUUGUUUAAGAGAAUUGAGGGACUAACUUGAUGCAUUUAUAAUAGUUUAUGGACUACUUAGCAUGAUUUAAUAGUUGAGGAGCUGAGAGAGGGUGACGAAUGACGAUCCAGGGAUCAAAUUGAUAGUGUAUUCUUUUUGAUAGGUCUUCAACUCUAGUGUACUAUUAAACUGGUCCAUAUGUGUAACCACUUAUUCUAAAUCAGUCAUUAUAUUUUAACAACUUACUAUCAAUUUAGUUAUUAUAUUUAGUCCCUUCCUAUCAAUUUAGUUUCUAACAUAUUGUCCGAAGGACUGAUAUGAUUAAAGCAUAAAAAUCAGAGACUUUUUUUAAAUAACUUAUAAUACAAUGACAUAUUCAAGAACACCCUACAAAAUCAGAGACACGUUUGGGGGUUUACUUUGUCAUAUGAAAUUGUGCUUAAAUAUCUACCGCAUGAAGAGUUGAUAACUUAGUUUUAGGAACUUGAAUAUGUAUAUAUGAAUUAUCAAACUAGAUGUAUAUGUUAUUUUAUGUAGUAUUUUAACCUUUUUGUGUAGUAUAAGUCAAAUGAAAAUUGUCCUUUGUGUAGUUCAAAUUAUUUUUGUGUUUUAUUAUUUUCAUCAAGUCAUCGCCUGAAAAAAGCAUAAAUGUAUGUAUUAAAAUUACCAUUAGAAUUUAGGAUGAUUAUUUGCAAAAAAAAAAAAAAAAAAUCUAUAAAUCAUCAUCACCUUAAAACCCAAGCCUGAAUACUUGUAAGAAUCAUAAGCAAAUUCACUAUUGAUAAAAUUUGAGAGCUCAUUCAAAACACUGAAAAACAUAUUUUAUUUGUUGAUUUUUUAAUCAAUAAAAAAAAAAAGGUUAGAUGUGUGGGUUGGCCAAAACUAGAGGUGCACUUUUUUUCUUCAAAAGAUUGUGAUUUACAUCUCUAGAUUGCCAGUUUGAAAGUGUAAAAAGUUAAAGAAAUUUGUAAACACUUUACACCGUUGGGUUGGCCUAAUCUAAAAAUGUUAAAAAUCUUUUUUUUUUUUUUUUUUGAGGGAAAAAAUGUUAAAAAUCUUGAAAGUGGAAUUUUACAUUUUCGGAUUGGUCAAAUAUAUGUAUAAAAAUUUAACAAUUUAUGCCAUCUAAUACAAGAUAUUUUCAAUCGCGGAGGUUAACUGAAUCCGGACAAUUUACAUUUCACUUAAAAAAUCCAAAAAGAGAAAAUUUUAAUAAGAUAAGGUUGACCAUCUAGAUGCUUCUUAAUCUUAAUGGCAUACUCGAUCAGUGUAAUGACGUGCCACUAACUUACACCAAUAAACCCUCUUUUUCACAAACUAUCUCAAUCACUCCCACUCCUAUAUAUACACUCUCUUUCUUACAAAUAUUCUUACACCAACAAUCCCUCCCUUUCAUUUGCUCCAUUAUCCUUUUGACCAAAUAUUUUUCACAUACCUUCACAAUCUAACCCAGUUCUCUCCUUUAAAUUCAACGUGGUCAAUAUUUUCUCUUCAAUUUCACUUCAUCAGAUUUGAUCUAAUCGGCACAACCCAAUUCCCUAGUGUUUAUAUAUGAUUUUUUUUUAACCCUUGAUGAUUCUCUUUUUGAUCUAUAUUGUUAGAUUGAUGAACUGGGCAACAAUUAGAUGCCGUAUCAGUGCAUAUGAUGUAGAUCUGAUGCUACAAAUAUCUUUGAUUGUGACUUCUAUAUCCAUCAAAGAUAGUUUUAUUAUUUUGACAAGUGUAAUUUUUUUGAUUAAAUUAUGUCACAAGACAUCAUUUUUAAAACAAAUUAAUUUAUGCAUAUAAGAGUGAUCCCGAGUAUAAAGUUAUAAGAUCUGCAAAUCUAUAUAGCUUAAGCUUAUGGUGUUUUUGGUGAUCCAGAACUUCCUACUUGAAUUUCAUAAUCAGAGUAUGGUUUGUUUCAAAAGUACAACACAAAAAGAGUUACAAAGUAUACUCCCAUGACUUUUAAAUAGGACGACCUAUCCCAAUAAUUUGGAUAAAGAAUUCAGAUAUGCUGCACCCAUCAAUAGAGACGCCUGAUUUAUUUAUUUAUUUAUUUUUUUGUGGUGGUCAGGGUUUGAGCUAAGUUCACGAGGACAAGACACCUGAUUUGAAGCAGAUAAUGUCGUAGUAUUGUUUAGUGAUUUAGCAACUGUGAUUUUCUUGAUUAAUUAUGAUGUAAUUUUUAACACUUCAAUUAAAUGUAUUUAUUUAUAUGAAUAAAUUGUGAAAGAUUCAGUAAUUUAAUACAAAUGUAUUAAUAGUGAUUAUAAUGUUUAUUCCGUAAACCUGUAAAAAAAAUGUGUCUAAAAAUAUUAUGUAUUAGAGUAAAAAAGAAAUUAUAGACUAUAAUAUAUAAGUUAUGUAUUUUUUCACUUAUCUUAUUUUUUUUAGGAUUAUUCACAUACUUUAUUUUAUAAUUCCCCUCGAAAAUAAAUCUUUGUUUUAUGUUUUAAUUUGGUCUCUUGUUUAUUAAAAUUGUUUUAAAUUAUGGUAUGAAAGGGAUCAUUUUAUUCAAAUAAGGACAAUUUUAAACAAAAAAACUUAUAAUUUCGUUGUAGAAAUUUUUUCUUUUAUUACCCAAGUUUUUAGAGGUGACUAGAGGUGUUCAUUCAAACCCUAUUUUUUAUUUAUUUAUUAUUAUUAUUUUUUUAUAAAUUCAAACCUUAUUCAAAUUAAAACCGUAAACCAAUCAAUAUAAACAAAAAUUUGGUUUAUUGUGUUUGAGUGUAAUUUGGUUUAUUAAAAGUGCCAUAUCUCAAAUUAUUGUUGUUGUUUCUUUGUCUGCAAGUAACUCAAAACUGGCAGCUAGUUCUUCAAUCAAAUAAUUUUAUAUUCUAAAGGCUUUUAAUGUUUCAAUACAUCCUCCAAAGUUGCUUCUUGUUAAGGAGGUUAUCUAGAGUCCCCUAAUUUCUAACUAGAUUAAAGGUAAUUGUGAUGGAGCUUUGGCUGCAGGGAAGGCUGCUUGUGGAGCAAUCUUUAGGAACUCUAAAGGUCAAUUUAUGGAUGCUUUGCAGAAGGUUUACACAAUGGUAACUCUCUUUUUGUUGAACUCAUUGGGACCAUGAGAUCCAUUGAGUUUACUAGCUAUUUCAAAAAACUGGAGAAAUUUCUGGCUAGAAAAUGAUUCCAUGCUAGUGGUUCAAGCUUUCAAGUCUUAGGACAUUGUUCCUUGGCAACUUAGAAACAGAGGAGCAACUGUAUUAGCAUUACUUCAUCCAUGAUUUUCAUAGUUUCUCACAUCUUUAGGGAGGGCAAUGGUUGUACAGAUGCUCUUGCUAACAUAGGUUUAACUCUAGAUAAUUAUGUAUAUUAUUACUCUUUAACUUUACAAGUAAGGAGUGAUUAUGUUAAAAAUAGACUAGGUUGGCCUACUUUUCGGUUUAAUCACUCUAGGUUGGCCUACUUUUUGUGAUUGUGUAGGCUGUGUAGUCUGAGAACUCACUGCACCAUCCCCCAUCCGACCUUUACCUCUUCCCCUCUUUGGGAUAUGUGCGUUUUGCCUUGCCCGCCUAGCGCUAUUAGUCAUAGCAAGUCUAUUAGAUAUCAUCCUAGAUGGGUCAAUCUGCUGCCCUUGCUCCGGAUCAGACAUAUCUGCACAAAAUUUUAAAAAAUUAACAUCGUUGAACAAAGAAAAUUAACAUAAAAUCUAAACAUCAUUCACAUCACAAUCUAAAAAACAUUCACAAUAUAAGAUAAAUACCAUUCAAAACCACAUUCAACUUCAACAUAAUGUUAACAUCAUUCUGAGAAACUACAAUUAUCUAUAACUACAUAAACUAACUAAAUAAUAAAUGCAAUUCUCAUUUUGGCAUUUUGUCAAACACUUUGUGUGCAAAGUAUCAAACAUAUUCACAUUGUGUUAUUUUGACACCAUUCAAAACCACAUUUUACUUAAACAUCAAUUACAUUAACUACAUUCGUUUAUCAAUUUAUAAACUACACAUGCAAUCAUCAAAAUGUCAAUUCAUUCAUAAACCCUAACCACAUGCAAACUACCAAAAUUUACAACAACAAAAAACCUAAACAAACUAACAUUAUGAUUAAAACUACUUACUUGUGUUUUUGUGGAGAUGAUUCACUUGAAUUUCAUCAAAAUGGAAUUGGAGGAAUUUGAAAAAAAUUGGAGAAGUUUUGAGAAAACUUGAAACUGAUAUGUUUCUGGUGCUCCUGUUUCUGUAUAAAGAAUGCAUCAGCAGUUAACUGCCGAUGAAACCGGUGGCAACUAAGUGACGAGAAAAAUUUCGAUAGUUAAUUGCCGAUGGUAUAAACCGGCAGCAGUUAACUACCGAGGGAGAUAUUGAUGCAUUUUAUUAAUAAGGGUUGAGGCCCAAUCCUGUUAGUUUAAUGCUUUUCAUUGCUUGAUAAAAAAAAAAUUAGCUUAAAUACAGUCAAGGUUGACCAUCUAGAUGCUUCUUAAUCUUAAUGGCAUACUCGGCCAGUGUAAUGACAAUGACGUACCACUAACUUACACCAAUAAAUCCUCUUUUUCACAAACCUAUCUCAAUCACUCCCACUCCUACAUAUACACUCUCUUACUCACAAAUAUUCUUACACCAACAAUCCAUCCCCUUCAAUGUGACCAAUAUUUUUCUUCAAUUUCACUUCAUCAGAUUUGAUCUAAUCGGCACAACCCAAUUCCCUAGUUUUUAUAUAUGAUUUUUUUCUGUAAUUUUGAACCCUUGAUGAUUCCCUUUGCGAUCUAUAUGGUUAGAUUGAAAACUGGGCAACAAUUAUAUGCCGCAUCAGUGCAUAUGUUGUAGAUCUGAUGCUACAAAUAUCUUUGAUUGUGACUUCUAUAUCUUUGUAAUCUUUAAUUAUUUGCUACAAAUCUGUAUAACUUAUGGUGUAGAUGAUCCAGAGCUUCCUACCUUAAUUUCAUAAUGUUAGUGUUGUCUCCCUUUGUGUUGUUUCAAAAUAACACAAACGAGUUACAAAGUAUUCUCCCAUGAAUUGGAUAAAGAAUUCAAAUAUGUGGCAGUGGCACCCAUCAAUAGAGACACCUGAUUUGGAGCAGACAAUAUCGUAGUAUUGUUUAGUUAUUUAACAAUUGUGAUUUUCUUGAUUAAUUAUCAUGUAAUUUUUACAUACUUCAAUUUAAUGUAUUUAUUUAUAUGGAUAAAUUGUGAAAGAUUCAGUAAUUUAAUACAAAUGUAUCAGUAGUGAUUAUAAUGUUUAUUAAUUAAAAAAAUUGUGUGUAAAAAAAUGUGUUAGAGUUAAAAAGAAAUUAUAGGCUAGAUUAUAUAAGUUUUGUAUUUAUUCAUUUAUCUUUAUUUUAUAAUUCCCCUCAAAAACAAAUCUUUACUUUAUGUUUUAAUUUGGUCCCUUGUUUUAUAAAAUUGUCUUUGCCAUUUAAAUCAUGUUAUGGAGAGGAUCAUUUUAUUGAAAUAAGGGACAUUUUUAAAAAUAAAAAAAAACUUAUAAUUUGAUUGUAGACAUUUUUCACUUUUACUACCCAAGUUUUCAUAGGUGGCACCUUACCCAAAUUUUUUCUUUUGGUAUAAAUUCAAACCUUAUCUAAAUUAAAACCGUAAACCAAUCAAUAUAAACAAAAAUUUGGUUUAUAUUUCUUAAAAAAAAUAAAAAAAAUUGGUUUAUUGUAUUUAAGUGUAAUUUGUAACAACGGUUUAAAUUAGAUCUUGGAUUUCUUUUUUAAAAUUGAACGAAACUGAACAUCAUACAUAAAUAUCAAUAAUUUUUUCUUUGGUCAACUACUUUUUUAUUAAUAUAAUAUAUUUUAUUAAUAUAUUAGUUGUUGGUUUUAAAUUUAAUUUUUGUACAAUUUCACACAUUUCAAGCUUAAUUGAUCAAACUCUAGCGGUGACUAAUAUCUAUUUAGGCUCGCUAUAUGCAAAAACCGAUGAUAAAACUUUUGGUGUGAGCCAAAGCCAAUCACUUGUUUACUUUGGUGCAUGCCGCUUUUUAUUCGGUGGUUCCCAAGGCUGGGGUCUGUUUUUGCGAGUCUUCACCCCCUCUAUUUGGCUUGGAAGGUUCGAUACAUUACAAAGGUUGAUACAUGCUACCUCAUAACUUUGAACUUUCCUCGUUGAUCCCUUGUGCGAACCGGUAACAAGCUCCACCAAAAGCACCACCUCAAAUUCGAUAAUUGACAACACAACGGCAACACCAUCCAUUAAAGGAGAUUAUGUGUGCAACGAGUUUGAUCAAGAAGAAUACGAGAAAAAAAUUCACGGUGGACUUGUUCUGAACAAACCCUACACCGCAAGGGAUUUGACUCUCAACGUAAGAUGUGGAAGACAACUAAUAAGUGGAAAAUGGUCUCACUUGGUACCAUGUGGGCAGCGGGAAAUGUCAAUCUUAAACUUAUGGAGUUGUCUAAAAAAUAUUGGUGAGACCUUACUCUUUUGGUUGUUAUUCAAUAACCUUCUCUUUACAACCAUUUGAGUCUUUUACCACAACCUUUAGUAUUUUAAAAUUGUGGUGGAAGAAUUUAUAUUUCUACAUAAAUAUUGGAUCUGAUAAAGGCUUGUAAAUCAUAUGUCUUAGUUUUCAUAGAACCCCUUCAAAGUCCUUCAAUUUCGUAUCCAUGUUAAUAACUCCAUUUAACCCAAGAAAAAACUAUUUUUUCUAAUCUUGAUUAUUUAAGUUUGUAAUUUUUUAAUCCACUUUUGUUUUGCUUAUUUAUUUAAGAUAUAAAUCUAUUCUGAAAUAUUUCUUAGUUUUAUACAAAGGUAUUCACUUAUUAUGAUCACAUCCAUAAUUGUUAAAAGCGCAAUCUAGAUUUUGCGAUCUAUAUCUUGAAAUCGUAAGAUCUCACGGUUUUUUCUCUCGCCACCAUGUCGUAGCGGUAGGAAAAUCGUUGUAGAAGAUGGAGCGAUGAGCGCGAAGAGGAAGAGCGUUGAAUUGUGGCAGCGACACUUUCUCUCGUGCUUGGUUCACACCUUUUAGCCCCGGUUGUGUACAUCUUGACCCGAUUGAACCACUUUUGACCCAUAAUAACUCGCACAUUACAACUCGAUUUCAAAUGUUUUUGAAUUAAAAUUUGAUUUUUUUUUUAUUUUAAUCUCAUAAAUUGAUAAACUGAAGUUACCUUUUUUUUUUUAAUUAAUAAAGGGGUUUGUGAUUUUUAAUUGAGAAAUUACAUCCACACUUAUGAACUUUCCAAAAAUAACGAUUCUUUCAAGUGUGAACAUGGGACUAGGUGAAUUUAUUUUUUAGGCUUAAAUGCUCUUUUGGUCCCUUUUAAUUGGUAUCGCUUUGAUCCUUUAACUAAAAAAAAGAUUGUUUGAGGAUUUUAAGUUGUUUUUUAGUCUCGUUUUGGUCCCUUCUGUUAGGUUUCCGUUAAUUUUAAUAAAAAACGUUAAGUGUGGACACGUGUCACCUUGUCAUUGGCUCUGAUUUUUUUUUUUAUAUAAAAAAAUUAAUUUUUUUAAAAAUAUAUAUAUUUUAUUUUUUUGUAAAAAAUUUCCAGAACCAAUGACAAGGUGACACGUGUUAACUCUGGGACACGUGUCACUUUAUCAUUGGCUUUGAGAUUUUUAAAAAAAUAUAUAUUUUAAAAAAAAAUAUUAUUUUUUUGUAAAAAAAAAAAAAAAAUCAAAGCCAAUGACAAGGUGACACGUGUCCAGAAGUUAACUUUUUUUUUUAAAACCCUAACGGAAACCUAAUAGAAGGGACUAAAACGAGACUAAAAAAAAACUUAAAAUCUUUCAACAAUCUUUUUUUUAGUUAAGGGACCAAAGCGAUACCAAUUAAAUAGUUAAGGGACUAAAAAAGCAUUUAAACCUUUUUUUUUUAUGAUAAAGUGGGAAUCAAUAAAAAAUUUAUAAAAUUUAUCUACUACAAAAAAAAAUUAUACCUUGUUUAGGUCGAAGUCAAGCUGCCAUCAUUAUGAUUAAAUCAAUGAAAAGAAUUAUUUAUUUUUUCGGAUAAUUUAUGUUAAUGUUUUUUUAUUUCAAGUGUGAACAUUUUAUCAUAAUACUCAAAUUGUCCUUGGUGUCAUAUUUACUUUACAGACCAUAUAUAUAUAUAUAUAUAUAUAUAUAUAUAUAUAUAUAUAUAUAUAUAUAUAUAUAUAUGUGGGUGUGUAUGUAUUUAUAUAUCCUGGACAACAUCGUAAAACACAGUAGUUAUAUUAAAAAAAUAAUAAACUUUUUUUGAAAGAGUAAAAAUAUACAUUUUUGAAAAAACAAAAAAAAAAACAUUUUUUUUAGAGGAAACAAUCCAAUUAUGUUGAUUAUUUUUUACUUAUGUAUCACAUAUUUUCUUUUUACAAAGGAAUACCUUGAUUAGAUCUAGAUGCUUCUUUUUGAGCAGCUGUCACCAACAAAACCUCUUUUAACAGUCCUACCUCCCUCAUUCAUUCAUUGCUCAGUGAAUUUCACUCCUAUAUAUAUAUAUAUUAGGGUUAUGCCUAUAUGAUCUUAAACCCUUUCAGCACACAGCAGUUGCCGCUCUGCCUUUCCCUUUUUGAACAAAUACUCAUGUACUUUCCACAACCCAACUCUUUCAAUCUCUCAACUUCCAUGUAACCAAAACCAGCUUUGCAAUUUCACUUAAUCUCAUUCAAUCAGAUCUAUUCUAACUGCUUCCCUAUGCUUGAAACGAUGAGUCAAACAACAACUAGAUUCUCUAUUAAUGCAUCUGUUGGAGAUCUGAUGAUUCAAAGAAUGUUGAUGGUGACUUCUAUAUCUUUACCAUCUCUUAGAUAGUUUAAUGGUAUCAUUAACAAUAAAUUUUAAUUUCCUUGAUUAAUUAUGGGAGAAGGUCUAUAGCUUAACGGUGACAAUAAUUUAUUUAUGCGAGUUAAGACGUUCUAUAUAGUUUGAUUAGAGCGCGAAUCUUCUCCAAUAUUGUUUGAGAUUCCAUAACUUACAUUCUUCAACAUCUUCGUUUGUUCUUUAAGAUCAAACAUUGUAUCUGCAAAUUUAUGUAAUGUUGUUAUCUUAUUAAAUAAAAUGAUUGUGGUUUUCUUGAUUAAUUAAGUUUGUAAUUUUUUAAUACACUUUUGUUUUGCAUAAUUUUAAAUAAUGACUCAAGUUUAUGUACUGGUCGGUGCGGAUCUUCAGAAACUCUUAAUCAUUUUUAUUUUUUUACACUGUUCUACUUUUGGGGCUGUUUGGAAUCAUAUUUUUGAUUGGUUUGGAUGGUCUACGGCUAUUCCUUAUGAAGUCGUGGAUCAUUUUACUCAGUUUACAUUUAGUGGUGGUGACUCUAAGAUGCGGCAAUCUAUCUUGCAUUUGAUUUGGUUUGCUACUGUGUGGGAAACCUGGAAAGAAAGAAAUAACAGGAUCUAAUGCAAAAGAGUGUUUGAUAACAGUGCUAGUGGACAAAAUUAAGUUGCUUUCCUAUAGGUGGUUGAAGGCGAAAACUGAUUGUCCUUACAAUUACCAUAGUUGGUGGUUGCGUCCGCUUUCAUUGUUAGGCAUAUAUUAGUUGUUUCUUUUCUUUGUGUCUGUCGUUUAGUUUCUCUGUUUCAGUUUCUGUAAAUAUUGUUUAGACAUUGUUUUGUUCUCUCUUGGCACACCUUGUGCUAGGAAGGACAUUUUGAGUUGGUAAUAUAUUUCAUUUUAGCCUCUUCAAAAAAAAAAAAAAGAUAUAAAUCUAUUCUAAAAUAUUUAUUAGUUUUAUACAAAAGUAUUCACUUAUUAUGUCACACCCAUAAUUGUUAAAAGCGCG
Molecule: long non-coding RNA, 27437 nt
Filed under: Medicago truncatula (barrel medic)
Lineage: Eukaryota; Viridiplantae; Streptophyta; Magnoliopsida; Fabales; Fabaceae
Description: long non-coding RNA (MTRU_LNC000839)
Source: RNAcentral